GACGAACGCUGGCGGCGUGCUUAACACAUGCAAGUCGAACGGAAAGGCCCUGCUUUUGUGGGGUGCUCGAUUGGCGAACGGGUGAGUAACACGUGAGUAACCUGCCCUUGACUUUGGGAUAACUUCAGGAAACUGGGGCUCAUACCGGGUAGGAGCUCCUGCUGCAUGGUGGGGGUUGGAAAGUUUCGGCGGUUGGGGAUGGACUCGCGGCUUAUCAGCUUGUUUGUGUGGUAGUGGCUUACCAAGGCUUUGACGGGUAGCCGGCCUGAGAGGGUGACCGGCCACAUUGGGACUGAGAUACGGCCCAGACUCCUACGGGAGGCAGCAGUGGGGAAUAUUGCACAAUGGGCGGAAGCCUGAUGCAGCAACGCCGCGUGCGGGAUGACGGCUUUCGGGUUGUAAACCGCUUUCGCCUGUGACGAAGCGUGAGUGACGGUAAUGGGUAAAGAAGCACCGGCUAACUACGUG
Molecule: ribosomal RNA, 468 nt
Filed under: uncultured bacterium
Lineage: Bacteria
Description: partial 16S ribosomal RNA
Rfam family: Bacterial small subunit ribosomal RNA
Source: RNAcentral